Long non-coding RNA from Daktulosphaira vitifoliae (grape phylloxera), 153 nucleotides. RefSeq lists it as uncharacterized. The record is from RefSeq and is a predicted model, not a curated record. Lineage: Eukaryota; Metazoa; Arthropoda; Insecta; Hemiptera; Phylloxeridae. The transcript has 2 exons.
UUUUGUUAUACCAGUGAUCCAUAAUGCUCAUUUAUAUAAUUUAAAUAUUUCAAAUAUAUAAUCCUAUGAACUGCUGAUCAUGAAGACGCUUUCCGUAUGUAAGAAUUACCAAGAAAAAGUGCACAUUGUUAAAUAUCGAGAGGUAUUUUUUUU